This 66-nucleotide transfer RNA is filed under the name chicken gut metagenome. It matches the Rfam family "tRNA". Rfam says of the family: Transfer RNA (tRNA) molecules are approximately 80 nucleotides in length. Their secondary structure includes four short double-helical elements and three loops (D, anti-codon, and T loops). The record is from RNAcentral.
GCUUUAGCUCAGCAGGUAGAGCAAUUGAUUCGUAAUCAAUAGGUCGGGGGUUCGAUUCCCCCAGGC